RNAcentral lists this small RNA (127 nucleotides) under Homo sapiens (human). Its description in RNAcentral is "nc058 non-coding RNA". Lineage: Eukaryota; Metazoa; Chordata; Mammalia; Primates; Hominidae. The record is from RNAcentral.
AACUGCUGACCUUGAGGAAAAGCAGAUAAUUCUAUCAAGAAAGCCUCCCUCCAGGAGUAGGCUUUUAUUGCUUUAUUAUAUAUCUUAAACUGUAAGAUCCUGUUUCUUCACCUGUGGAAAUAAGGUG